UGGGUGUUCUUCAGUUAGUUACCAGAAAGAUCCUUUCCACACCCUGAGGUGAGCUGCAUCAAAUGACAUUUUAAGCAAAUCACCCUUCCACAAUAAACAGGCCUCAGAGAGGAGCUUUCUCUCCACUUCAGACUAUGAAGUCCACAACACUUUGACGAGGCCUCCCAGACUGUACAAACAGCAGAAAAGGGAACAGCAGAAGUGCAUCCUGAGACCUGCUUUAAGCCUGGAACACAGCAGCUACAUGGUGUGCAGGAAAUGCUCUUUGGGCAGACUCUAACUGUUCUGCUAAUCACUCUUUCUCUUCAGAAAUGGCUUUGUCAAUUCAAAGGUCUCUGCUCUGCCUCUGGAACAUAUGGAUAUAAAGCUUUGGAAGGGGAGCGCUUUGUAAUGCAGUGUGAUUCCCCAUAU
Long non-coding RNA from Megalops cyprinoides (Indo-Pacific tarpon), 411 nucleotides. RefSeq lists it as uncharacterized. The record is from RefSeq and is a predicted model, not a curated record. Lineage: Eukaryota; Metazoa; Chordata; Actinopteri; Elopiformes; Megalopidae. The transcript is spliced from 3 exons.